UACAGAGGUCCCGAGCGUUGUUCGGAUUCACUGGGCGUAAAGGGUGCGUAGGCGGUUCUGAAAGUCUGAUGUGAAAUCUCCGGGCCCAACCCGGAAAUGGCAUUAGAAACUACAGGGCUAGAGGCUUGGAGGGGGAACUGGAAUUCUCGGUGUAGCAGUGAAAUGCGUAGAGAUCGAGAGGAACACCAGUGGCGAAGGUGAGUUCCUGGACAAGUCCUGACGCUGAGGCACGAAAGCCAGGGGAGCAAACAGG
RNAcentral lists this ribosomal RNA (253 nucleotides) under uncultured bacterium. Its description in RNAcentral is "partial 16S ribosomal RNA". It matches the Rfam family "Bacterial small subunit ribosomal RNA", at positions 524 to 776 of the family's 1533-position model. The record is from RNAcentral.